This 253-nucleotide ribosomal RNA is filed under the name uncultured bacterium. Its description in RNAcentral is "partial 16S ribosomal RNA". It matches the Rfam family "Bacterial small subunit ribosomal RNA", at positions 524 to 776 of the family's 1533-position model. The record is from RNAcentral.
UACGUAGGGGGCUAGCGUUGUCCGGAAUCAUUGGGCGUAAAGCGCGUGUAGGCGGUCCGGUAAGUCCGCUGUGAAAGUCGGGGGCUCAACCCUCGGAUGCCGGUGGAUACUGUCGGGCUUGAGUACGGAAGAGGCGAGUGGAAUUCCUGGUGUAGCGGUGAAAUGCGCAGAUAUCAGGAGGAACACCAAGUGCGAAGGCAGCUCGCUGGGACGUUACUGACGCUGAGACGCGAAAGCGUGGGGAUCAAACAGG